RNAcentral lists this long non-coding RNA (2968 nucleotides) under Homo sapiens (human). RNAcentral's name for it is "HSALNT0378000". Lineage: Eukaryota; Metazoa; Chordata; Mammalia; Primates; Hominidae. The record is from RNAcentral.
UCAAGUGGUCCGCCUGCCUCAGCCUCCCAAAGUGCUAGAAUUAUAGGUAUGAGCCACUGUGCCUGGACAGAUUUUGUUUUAGAAGCAGGAGUUAAGUGUCCAUGAGUAGUAGGAACUCAGGUAAUCCAGCCCAAAUGGACUUGAUCAACCAUCCCCUGAUCCCGGAUCUCAGCGUGAUGGGAGUCUAGGAAACCUGCCCUUUGACCUGAAUCUGGAUGACGUUAGUAAUACAGGAAUAGGUGAAAUGCCAGCCACACCUGGCUGGCCCAUGAAAAGGAAAUACUUCCCACGCUUUGCUUUUGCACACCAAGGGCCCCCAGGUAAAGGCAUCCAGGGUGCAAGCCGCCUGCUUUAAUGCCCGGGUGUGGCUGCAGGAACAACCCAGUACAAACUGGAGUGAACCUGUUGCCCUCUUCCUUCCCUGCUGCCAAGCCAAACAGAACACAGGGAACACAAAUAGAAUCAUCACAGUAAACCAGCUGUUGGAGCCAGACACUGGGAGAACCCACUCCCUGGCACUGCCACCCCAUUCACGGGUCCAGACAUGAUGAAGUGCUCUGAGGGCUGAGGAAGGUGUGGCCCGUGGGCAUUCCUGUCCAGCAAGAACCCCUCUGGCUUGUCUGUAUUCAUUGCCACCCACAUGGACCUCUCUAUGGUUGCUUGCCAAAGCCGGGAGGGAGAAGGGUCUCCCCUUCCUCCAAGCCCAGGAUCACCGGGAAAUGCCCUUCCCACCUACUGGACUUGACUAAUGCUGCUUGUCAAGAAGGGAACUCUUCAGACACAUAAAAAUCCUAAAGAUCCUGGAGGCUGAGGUCUAGAUCGGUCGCCAAGGAUGGGAUCCAGGAGAAAACGUGCUGAACGUGCAGCUUGCUCCUACCGAUUACAGCCCAGCAGAUGACAUAGUUCCACUGUGCUCUAGUCCAUUGUGGGAAUUAUGGCCCUCAUGCCCGGCGUCUGUCACAACCCAAUAUUUGGUGUUAUAACCCCUGCUCCCACCCCCCAGCACAUCUCAGAAGUGCCGUUACCCUCUCAGUCACAUCCCAGAAACUGUGUUGCCUUCACGGUUACUCUUGUUUAUGCUUGAGAGCACUCGGAGGCCUUUCCAUAUCUAAAGCCUGCAUUCAGUGCUACCCCCUGCAGGAUUUGGAUACAUUUCCCCGUCUGGUCCUAAUUCUGUUGAAUGACAUCAUUUAUCCGUAUUCCCACCCAGAGAUGGGCAGAUUUCUUGUAACCUGAAUAGAUACCAAAGAAUCCCAAAGGACCUGGGUGGGUACUUCUAUUUAUGGGCUCAUUGGAUCUUAUUCUUUCCUCUCCGCCUGUUUUAAUUCAAAUCGGGGGGACCAUUUGAUUUCUCCAAUAGAAACAGAAAGAAAUUGAAGACAGAGAUGAACACAGAUCAAGAGCCCAGGUUUCUUGAUAUCUAAUACUAAUAUACUGAUGGAGUUAAACAUUCCAAGGUACGAAUGUGUCCAGAAACAGUUUUAACCUUACCCUGGGUUUCCAUCAGUGAAACCAAGUUAACAUCUGGCAAAAGAUAGCGAUCUAGCCUCAGGGGUUUCAGUCAAGUUGCGCUUAAAAGAAUGCCUUAAAAUCUGUAGUUAUGGUGUCAAAUAUAAUAAAUCUUCACCAGCUCAUGCACGUACAAGUCUGAAAUGUUUCAUAAAAGGUUUAGAUGACCUGAUAACAUGUUUCUAAAACCCAGAGAGAAAGAGAGAGACUGAUACAAACGUCAAGUUAAAAACAAGAAAGUAAAAUUAGUUUCAUAGAUUGGGGUUGAUAAGGGGAAUCUCUGUCCUCUAUGCUCUAAUCUUAGCCCACUACCUCCUUUCCUCUAUCUCCUCUGGUGGAUAUGCUUGCUAUCUGUCCUCCCCUCCGACUCUUUGGCUAGCCUUAUAGCCUAUAAUUUCCUUCAGAGAUGUAGUGAAAUUAAAUGAAAUUAAGAGCCUGCUUAAUGCAAACAGGACCAAAGGGCACAGCUCUUUAUCGUAAUGAACUUCAUUCUGAUUAAGUCAGGGACUGCAAGUGCUUACUAUUUACCCAGUAAAUAUAUUAAAUUGCUAGGCUAGUCUCCCUUCUGUCCUGACACUGCCAGGGAAUAUUUGAAAGUCGGAUAUAAGAUCCAUUUUAGACCAUCAAACAUCCCUUCUAAUUCUAUCAUCUCUCUUUAUGUUUCCAGGAAUAUAGCAUGUCUUGGUCUCUGAGAGCCAAUAUAUCUGGGUUACACUGAAAGAGGAAUAACGAGAUAAUAUUUACACUGUACAUUGAAGAUGACCUGAAAAGCUGGAAGAGGUGACUGAGGGCAUUUUCUCAGUGUGGAUGAAGAAGAGGGGAGGAAGCUCAGACAGACAUCAGCUGGAUGAAGCCCCAGGUUCAAACAAACUUGCCUUGGAUAUCAAAGUACUAGUAGCAAAGGAACUCCCAAUUCCUCACCUGCUGUGAAGUUUCCCAUUCACUGCAAGCAAAGUCCAGGUGAAAGCAAAGAUUCUUCACCCGCAGAAACCCUCUGGGCAGGUAACUCAUGAUGUAUUCCCAGCCACCUGAUGAAUCUGGAGAAAGGAAUAGAAUGGUUCUGCCAAAUGAUUUAAAUGAAGAAUCCUGUGGGCCCAGCCCAGCCCUCUAUGCUAACCAAUCUGAAGCCGGCAGGUGUGUGGUGUUCUGUUUAUAGCUGCCAGAUCAGCUCCUGUUGUAGGUUCUAUAUGCUGGCCUCAGCUGAGCCUGUGGUAUGUGAGCACAGUUCUGUGCGAUCCAAACAAUUGACAAAUACUGACCUGGCCCCAGCCACGUGCCCAGUCAUUGCUGGGCUGCCCAAGAAACCAACUAAGCACAUUCUGGGGCAGGGGUGGGGGGCAUUCAAGAAAGAAAUCAGAAAGCUGUAUUCAUUAUUCUAUUGACUGAAGGCUUAGUAUUGUGUCAGGCACUGAUCUGGCAACGGGGAAACAGUAAUGUCUCUUUCCCUCAUGGAACUUAC